This 669-nucleotide non-coding RNA is filed under the name Pongo abelii (Sumatran orangutan). The record is from RNAcentral. Lineage: Eukaryota; Metazoa; Chordata; Mammalia; Primates; Hominidae.
UAAGGAAUGAGAUAAAUUACUGCUUUUCUAGAUUUGGUAGCAUGGGCUGUUGUGCUGGAGAGAACGAGAGCUACGAAGAGACUAGAAUGCCUCUGACUUUUUCAUAGGACAGUUGGCCGAGGAAGACACUUAAAGAUGAAGUGCUUAAUUCAAGGUCACAGAAUGUCGGGGAUGGACCUCCAGAUUUCCUUACUGACCUGCAUUAUCUUGUGGAUACCUGAGUGAAUUCCACACCACCCAUUUUAUAGAUGAAGCCACUGAGACGUGGAGCAACUGACUGAGUAGUCACUGCCCCACCCCUGCCUGGAGCCUCACACAUGACUUCUCUUAGUGACCACAGGUUGGUUGAGGGGUUUAACAAGGCUAAGAAGGUGAGACGUGGUCUUGUAACACAGUGGUUAAGAAUGUGACUUUGGAGCCAGCCUGCUAGGGGCUGAAUUCUGACUCAGCCAUUUAUUAACUGUGUGACCUUAGAUGGAGUCUCACUCUGUAGCCCAAGCUGGAGUGGCGUGAUCUCGACUCACUGCAACCUCCGCCUCCUGGGCUCAAGUGAUUCUCGUGCCUCAGCCUCCUGAGUAGCUGGGACUACAGGUCAUAGAAUUUUCCACACUCCUUGACGGAGGUUCUUAACCCUUAUCCAUCAGCAUUCUCAGACAGCACCUCCGGUUA